RNAcentral lists this ribosomal RNA (497 nucleotides) under uncultured bacterium. Its description in RNAcentral is "partial 16S ribosomal RNA". It matches the Rfam family "Bacterial small subunit ribosomal RNA", at positions 28 to 507 of the family's 1533-position model. The record is from RNAcentral.
GAUCAACGCUGGCGGCAUGCCUAACACAUGCAAGUCGAGCGAACAGACCAGGAGCUUGCUCCUUUGACGUUAGCGGCGGACGUGUGAGUAACACGCGGAUAACCUACCUAUAAGACUGGGAUAACUUCGGGAAACCGGAGCCAAUACCGGAUAAUAUAUUGAACCGCAUGGUUCAAUAGUCAAAGACGGUUUUGCUGUCACUUUUCGAUGGAUCCGCGCCGCAUUUGCUAGUUGGUAAGGUAACGGUUUCACAAGGCCACGAUGCGUAGACGACCUGGGAGGGUACACGGCCACACUAGAACUGAGACACGGUCCAGACUCCUACGGGAGGCCGCAGUCUGGAAUCUUUCGCAAUGGGCGAAAGCUUAACCGAGCAACGCCGCGUGAGUGAUGAGGGUCUUCGGAUCGUAAAGCUCUGUAAUGAGGGACGAAGGACUGUGUAAGAAACUAUGAACGUUUUGACGGUACCUAAUCAGAAAGCAACGGCUAACUACGUG